Vicia villosa (hairy vetch) is the source of this 3057-nucleotide long non-coding RNA. RefSeq lists it as uncharacterized. Lineage: Eukaryota; Viridiplantae; Streptophyta; Magnoliopsida; Fabales; Fabaceae. The transcript is spliced from 3 exons. The record is from RefSeq and is a predicted model, not a curated record.
CGUGAUUGUGUUGACAUAAUUACCCUCACGAGAAACCAAAAUGACAAGGAAUCCUCUGAUCUGAACAACCGUGUGCCGUGCCGAAGCCGCCAUUGACGACGAAUCGGAGAAGUUAAUCUCGAGCGGCGCGGCGGUGUUGCGUCGGAACGAGAAACGCACAUCAUCGCAUCACCAUAUUCAUAAUGAUGACGUGUUCUUCGGAGACGAUCAACAUCGCUGCGAGAACUCAGAAACUCGAUGUUGAUAAUCGGAUUUCGCUGCGUUUCUACUACAGGAUCGCUGAUAAUAUCCUCAAACAGGCUGAUAUUUUUCGCGCAGAGAAAAAUGUUGUUGAUCUAUAUGUCAUGCUCCUAAGAUUUUCUAGUUUGGUCUCUGAAACAAUACCACGGCACCGAGAAUAUAGAACAUCUCCACAAAGCAAGAAAGAGUUAUUGAGAAAGGUUAAUUGAUCAUAGUCUAGAUGACUUUCUCAAGACGUCUAGUGGAAAAUUCUUUAAUGGAACAAGUUUGAAAUAAAUGAAUCUCAUCUCCAAAGCAGAGUUAUUAAUCCCGGCCGCUCCGGCCGCUAUCCCGGCGCUCCGUAGCGGAGCAGCACCCUGCCGCGCGAUAUGAAGGGUGCGGAGCAGGAGAUGAGAAAGCGGCCGCUUCAGCCGCUAUACCGGGUUCCGAGUCGUGGAAAAUUCCCGGGCGGAGCGGCUCCGGUUCUUUUUUACCUUUUUUUUACAAUUUUCUGGGCAAAAUUAACAAAACACCCCUGUGCAAGAGAGAGGUUGAAGAAGAAGUGAAAUCUGAUUCGUAGAGAGAGUGAGUGAGUGAGAGAGGUUGAAGAAGAAGUGAAUUAGGGUUUCCCAAGAUAUGAUUCAUAGACUGAGAAUGAGAGAGAGACGCAAAGCGAGAGAGAGGUUGAAGAAGAAGUGAAUUAGGGUUGAUUGGUUGAAGAAGUGAGAUCUGUGCCGCCGUGGAGUUAGAGAUAAUUAGGUUAACAUACUGUAUAUGUUUUUGACCGGUAGUGGUAGUGUACUAACUAAGUAUCAAUCUUAUUAUAUAUUUAUUCAAAAAAAUCAUAUCUUAUAUUAUUUCCUAUUUUUUAUAACUAAUUUUGUAUCUAUCUAUUAUCUUAAGAAAAUAUAUAAACAAAUUAUAUAUUUUUUGAGUCUAUUUAUUAAAUAUUUAACUUAUUUAUUAAAAUUAAAUUUAAUUUGAAUCUUUAUGUUUUGAAUCUUAAUUAAGCAUUAUUCUUUGUUUCACAUUAUAUUUUAUAAAUAUUUUAUGAGUGGUUUAUAGAUUAUUAUAUAAUUAUUAGUAUACAAAAAUUUAUCCCGCUAUCCGGGAUGCCGCUAUUCCCACUAUUCCCAUUCCCGGAGGUUGGCCGCUCCGCUCCGCUCCGCUAUCCGGGAUUAACAACUCUGCUCCAAAGUCAAUAGAAAUUGAUCAUGAUUUCUUGUUUGAGGUUGACAACAAUGUGUUUAACUCAAGGGAUCCUCCAGAAGCUAUGUUCUUCUAUACUGACAGAUGCUUCAAGAAUAAUGAAACACCAAGUAUUUCUCCUCAAACUGUAAGGCUAUGUUUGGGAGUUUGGAGGGAAGGGGAGGGGAGGGCUUUGGAAAAUAUGAAGAAUUUGAUGAAAAGGAUAAAAAGAUUUUGGAUAGGUGGGUUUUGGAGGGUUUGAGUUUAUUCAUAACACCAAAAAUCCCAUAAAAUGAGGGAACUCAAAAAUUGUAUUGAAUGAGGGUUUUGGAGGGUUUUGAAGGGCUUAUAUAAAUAUUCCAAAUAUCUUUUAGGUUGUUAUAGUAUUCUGAAAAUUAAAAAUUUACUACUGAUAAUGACUCUUUUAUCAUUCUAAACAAAAUCAUUUUUUAAAAAAAUGUCAAAUAUUUUCCUAUAUUUUUUAAAAUUUUCAUUUUUGGAAGCCUUCCUCUCCCCUCCCCUCCCCUCCAAACUCCCAAACAUAGUCUAAAAGUUCUUCUCCAAGACAAAUUCAUGAGCCAGAAGAAACUGUUGAGCCUUUGGUUAGGAACAAGAGAAGAAUCACUUAUUAUUCUAAUGAAGGACCUUCUAAUUCCUCCAAACCUUCUGAGUCAACGUUUUAAGAGUUUCUGAAUGAACCAGUUGAUGAAUUUGAGGACCCUGUUCCUUCUUCUGCAAGUAAGUCUCUCGCAUACCUCAUUUCAAAAUGCUAAUUUUAAUUCAUCAAUAGUACCCAUACCCACCCUCCCUCCAUUGUUCCUUAUAAUCUAACAUACCUUACAACACAAGAGCAAUUUACACUUGAAGCUAGGACAAUGCAUUGGCUCAUCCACUUUUGUUCUGUAAUUAAACUUCUUUUAUAGGAGAUUUGAAUUAUACCCCAUAAAUGUUUGUAACCCCUACACCAGCAACAUCAACAUCAGUUCAGAUUUGCUCAGAGUACAAAAGUUCAAGUGUGUAAGAAUUUGACCAUGUAUUUUAAUACAUCAUCUUUUAUUUUAUGCUACAACAACUUUAGGACUUCUCUCAUUAUUUUUAUUGUUUUUAGUAUAUUUUUAAAGUUAAGUUUAAAUUUGUUUUUAUUUUAUUUUUGUUGUUUAUUUUCAGAAUAUGUUGUAUUUUGACACCUUCUCAAUGUGAAGAUUAUAACUAGAGGUACGAGAAUCUAAUUGACGCGUUCUAUUAUGCAUUGAAAAGCUAAGACAAAAAUCUACAUGUUUUAUAUUAACGUCAGAAGCCAAUUGUUAGCGCGUAUGUGUUAAAUUAUCAAAUUAUGUUCCAUACUUAGUAAAAAUAAAUUAGCUAGCUCUCAGACAAAGUUAUGUUUGGUGGGCCGGUUGUAAAAUUCCAAUUCUAGUUAUUACUUAGGUAAAUUCGAGCAUUAGGGAAAAGUGAGUCAGUUAAUCUAUUAUUUCAGAAUUUCAUCAAGACUUUAAGAUUAUUAUAUUAUCAAUAUUUAUUCAAUUCAAUUCCUUUCAGCUAUUGUUUGCUUAAUUUGAGUUGCAUAUAAUAGUGUUAACUAAAUAUUAUCGAUGAUGUUCUUUAAAUUGUGUGUUAACUUAGCUUAUUCGUUAGCUUUGUUAGUCUUCA